Lolium perenne is the source of this 1615-nucleotide non-coding RNA. Lineage: Eukaryota; Viridiplantae; Streptophyta; Magnoliopsida; Poales; Poaceae. The record is from RefSeq and is a predicted model, not a curated record.
AGUCCGUGUUAGUUGCAUCCAAAAUACACAAAUUAGAGGAAAAACAAUAUCAAAAGUGUUCGGGAAAGUAGAUACGUUUUGGACGUAUCAGGGAUAUGCAAGGAUAUUUGACUAAAAGAUGAGUCUAAGUUAAGCUAGCAAACUUUCCAAGUAAGUACAAUCAGAAAUUUAAUUAUUUUGCCUAAAGAAAAGCACACGCAGUGAUGUUGACGAAAUAGUUUCAUGAGAUGUCUACAAAGUUCUAAUUUAGGCAACCUAUUGAAGAAAAUAAUAAGUUAAAAGGGGUUAAUUGAUACAUACCCACUAGCUCCAAAUGUUUAGAAUUCUUCAAUAUCAACUCUGAGUGAUGAGAGCAUAUCAUUUUCUUGCAAACUACUUAGGCAUUUAGAAUUAUUCAAGUGCAGCUCUGAGUGAUGAGAGCACGUGUUGACUUGCACGCCGCCUGCAGAGCAUAUAUUGUCACCCAGGAUGCACAAACAAAACAAAACUGAAUUUGUAGGUCAAUCACUAGAAACAUGGUAAUCUAGACUAUAUAGUAUGACACAUAUUCACCUUAGUUUGUUCCAAUAUAGGUGCAACCGAAAUUUAGCUCUGGGAAUGCUGCUACACUGUAGCAAGAUAAUUCUUGGGUGUUUCAGACUUUCAGUUUCGUGAGCGUAUUCUGCAAAUAUAUUGAGACAAAUAAUAAGAAAUAUUGUAGCAACUUUUACUUCUGAAGUACCUGCUAUAAGUUAGAGUAAGUGCGGUUCCAUUCCUAACGAUGAAGACAUUUAAGAGGUCAAUGAGGUCGUGAAUGGUUUGCAGAAAGAGUAGCCUGCAUUUUUUUCUGGCGUUGGCAAAAUCUCUAGACCAUCUCCUUUCGGUACCAACUCCUGAAAAUUGAUAACAGACAAUUUUCCAUUUAACUCCCUGCUAAAUAAUUUUGCACUUUCAAGAACAUAGGAUACCAUGAAGCUAAGGGUUCCAUUACUCCUUUUUUAGUCUUUCAUUCGCCCUGGGCAUCCAAGAAAUCAUUACCAGCAUCCUCCAGAGAUUCUCCACAAAGUAGAUCACAGCAACUUCCCAUGUCAUAGGAUCUCACUACAGGUUGGCGUCACAAUAAUGUUGUUACGGAAUGCCAAUCAGUUAAUUGGAAUUUGCAAUGGCACCUGUCUCAUGGGCGAAUGGGUUCUCAAAGCUAAGAUUAUGACUCGGAGCAAUGUAGGUGCCUGUGUGUGCAUACCAAGAAAGGCAAGAAUUGUGCUACAUGCGCCAUCUACAAGUGGCCCUUACUCAGUUUAUUCUACAAAAUCGACAGUAUCCAGUUCGUCUUUGCUAUGCAUUGAGAACUAAUAAAAACCAGGGGCAAACACUCCAGAAGGUUGGCAUCUAUUUACCAAAGGCUGGUUUUUCUCAUGGGCAGCUUUAUGUUGUUGUCUCAAGGGUGACAUCCAGGAGAGAAUUAAAGGUGCUUGCAGUUUAUGAAAAUAGGGAAUCACGGAAACAAUGAAUAUAGUAUAACAGGAAUUUCUUGAAAAUCUUUAGGCAUGGUAUAUGUAAGUACCUUUUCAUGGAGUUGUUGUUCUGCCUGUAUAAACAUAAUUCUACUGCUUUUAAUGUAUUGAUCUUUCUGAAG